Molecule: long non-coding RNA, 739 nt
Organism: Trichomycterus rosablanca
Lineage: Eukaryota; Metazoa; Chordata; Actinopteri; Siluriformes; Trichomycteridae
Exons: 2
Source: RefSeq, a predicted model, not a curated record
CUUGAUAAUAUCCGCUUGUUAAGUGGUGACGUGUCGACCUUAUGAUACGUCACAUCCGGGUCCAAGUUGGCCGAGUCCCUCGUAUUUUCAAUAGGCUCUAUGCACGACUGUCUUCCGGGUUCUCGUAUACUGGCAGAUCAACUUCCGGUAUUCAUUUGCCGGUCGUCAACAAGCAGAUAACGUUAGGCAUGGCUCUCUUUUACACUUGUUGUCUUCAAGAUUAACCUCGUCUGACAGUGAACGAUUUAGACCGACCGACGCAUGGUUUGUACUGCUUCUUCUAACAAGCGGGAAAAAGGAUUUUAAAUGUACAACUCCAGCGACAUUGACAAAUAUGAAGGUGGAGUGGUCCGGGUUCUUUCUGUGUGAGGUUUGCAUGUUCUCCCUGUAUCUGCGUGGGUUUCCUCCGGCAGCUCCUGUUUCCUCCCACAGUCCAUAGACGUGCAAGUGAGGUGAAUUGGAGAUACAAAAUUGUUUGAUAUUAAAACUUGAACUGAUGAAUUUUGUGUAAUGAGUAACUACCAUUUCUGUCAUGAAUGUAACCAAAGUGUAAAACAUGAUGUUAAAAUCCUAAUACAACAUAAAACAAACUAAACAUAUCUGACUGGAUAUAUUAGCAAUUUACCCUCAAUCUUUUGAUUAAGUGUAAAAAGUUUUGUUCACCAAUAUAUGAAUGAGUUAUCUUUUAUUCAUUAUCAAAUGUUAUAUGUCAGACCAUAAUAAAUUUCCUGUCAAUUGA